UACGUAGGGGGCAAGCGUUGUCCGGAAUUAUUGGGCGUAAAGCGCGUGUAGGCGGCCAGAAAAGUCCGCUGUGAAAACUCGGGGCUCAACUUCGAGCUGUCGGUGGAAACUUUCUGGCUAGAGUCCGGAAGAGGAGAAUGGAAUUCCUGGUGUAGCGGUGAAAUGCGCAGAUAUCAGGAAGAACACCCGUGGCGAAGGCGGUUCUCUGGGACGGUACUGACGCUGAGACGCGAAAGCGUGGGGAGCGAACAGG
This 253-nucleotide ribosomal RNA is filed under the name uncultured bacterium. RNAcentral describes it as "partial 16S ribosomal RNA". It matches the Rfam family "Bacterial small subunit ribosomal RNA", at positions 524 to 776 of the family's 1533-position model. The record is from RNAcentral.